AUGACCUCAGGUCGAAUGACCAGAAUGCAAGUGAGUAAAGAAGAUCAAAAGAAAGCUGUAUCGACUGAACCAAUCAAAAUCAAAACAGCUGAAGAAGUAAAAAGUGCUAUUAAAAUGAGGAAAGCAGCCCACAUGGAAGAGCCGGAUUUAGAUGAUUUCAUCUUGAUUCUUGACAAAAAGUCUGAGAAAUGGAGCCGUGUAAAGAACUCAUUGCAGGCUUUCAAUUCCAUCACUCCCAAAGUUACGGCGGAAGAAGCAGCGAUACAAUAUGAAUUGAAGUCUGAAGUUGACUGGACAGAUCCUGAUUACUACUUCAAAUUUGGUGCGAGCAUGGACUGCAAACUAUGCUCUUACAGUGGCUGUCACAUAUCCGAUCAUUACCUGUUGUACCACUCUGAGGAUCAAGUUUUGAGUUCUCGGCUGCAUCAUGAAGAAGGAGAAAGUGCCAUUGCAGAAUCAAUUUUCCUUGAUUAUUCAGACGUGCCGGAUGAGUUCUUAAUUAGAUUUCCAGCCAGCAAAGAAUGUGAUGGCACUGUACUAAACAAAGAAAGCCUCAAUAAGCUUCUCUUAAAACAGUGGCUCAGGGACCACUCAGACAACUUGACUGAAGUUUUUCAAUCAUUGGUUGAUAAUUGUGUCUUGGAAAGAGACAGUAACGCAACAUUGUCCAUCCAUGAUGAAAUUAAGCCGAAAAUACUCACUAAUCUGCCAGAUCUCUUGUACAGAGCAUAUCGGGCUAAAAUGCGGUCAAACCUAUUUCUUUGUCGCAUGUGCAAUAAUAUUUAUGACAAUGCUCGGAAAUUUUUUGAACACUGCAGUUUCCAUACGGGGGAAUAUCUCUAUGAAUGUACUCCCUGUCAAUUAAUUUUACCAUCUAUUGACGAUUUUGUCUCUCAUGAGGAAAGUGCCCCUGGAAAUCAUUUUUUAUCCAAUCGUUAUCUCUUACCACCAGAAUCUUCAAUUUUGUUCGGCUAUAUUUGUUCUUCAUGUAAUUUUGUUCAAUUAGUUUAUGAGAAUUUAGUGCGCCAUCUAACGUAUCACAAAAAUGACAAAUUUGAGCCACAAAUUGUGCGUAUAAAUAUGUCUAAAUUAUCCUCUGGUCUAUUUGCUGAAAGUUGUGAAGACGCAGUCGCCAAGAAGUGGCAUGACUACAAAAAAGAAGACAUUACGAGCUGUGGCUGCCCCAAGUUUUAUUUGUCAUUCGAUGACCCAAAAGAUGUUGCUAAACAUUUUGAAAAAUUAUCUUUGAAGGAAAUUUGCGGUAGCAAUCUAAACAAUUCCACAAAGUGUGCCAAUCCUUUUGCUAGAAGUUUUUCCUCUCCCAAGCACAAAUCAAAUAUAACAUUCACUGAUCAUAAUGCACCACUUCCAAGCAGUCAUAGUUUUGAAAAAAUUAUCACCUCACGCGAAAUAGAGCACACAAAUCUAGAAAAAAUUAUUCUAAGACUAUCAAAGGCAGGCAAAAAUCCAUAUCUUUUCUCCAAAUCUUUGAGGACGAAUGUUAAUCAGUUGAGCAAGGAGCAUGCUGCCAAGCCUCAAGACCUUAUAAUGGAUGAAGAAGGAAGGAACACUGAGCACAAUUAUGCGUUCACAAACAGUGGACCAGAAUCAUUUCCUAUUCAAUUGGACAAAGAGAAUUCUCCUCAGUCUCGCAUAAAGUUUUUAGAAGACCUACACAACAGGUUGAAAACUAAAGGCGGCAGAAACUACUUGACUGAACUUGAAAAGAAGUUGAAGUUGACAGAAGUUGAGGCUAUGGAUUUAGGUGAAGUACAUCUUUUAUCCUUGAAGAAAUUUGCCCCAAAUAUCUCCAAAUCCAAAGCUAGUUUGGAGUCUGAAGCUCCAACAAUACACAUUCCAGACUCAGUUGAGUGUUCCCUGCCGAAAAUUAUGAAUGUCAUUGACUUUAAUCUUCAUAUGACAACCGAAUCGUCAGAGAGUUCAGUUUCUAUUCGCAAGCCUUCGAAUGCAUUUUUGAAUAUUGGGAAUCUACUUACAUCAUCUCAUUCUGGAAAGUCUUCUACUCCUAAAACUUGCAAACCAUUACCAUCCCUGCUCUCAGUGAAGAAACCACCCCAGAACCAAAAGUAUACAAUGAAAGAUCCUGCCGUGCGGAAGCUGAGAGUCGGUCCUAUUGGCGCUGUGAAGGAAGUAAAUCAUGUUGCCUUUAGUUGCUUCGCUCCUCUCAAAAGUGGAAAGAUGUGCAGCCAUAGAACAGACAGUGUGGAACAGCUGGUUACUCACUUCAAUUCAUUUCAUACUGAUGUUAAGUGGACUGGUCUGUGUGAGCCGUGUGGUCAGACUAUUGUUGCCAGAGGGUUGGAAAAGUAUCCUAUCAGCAUUGCCUCAAAUCAUUUAGUUUCGGCACACUUAUCUCCAGUUACCAUAUUUGAGCUCAUCAAACCUACAGCUAACCCAGCCGUAACCUCACUUGGAGGUAUUCCUCCUGAGCCAAGACCACAUAUUGUCAUAAAAAAUUCUCAGGCGUUACCAUCUUGCAUCACCACAAGUCCUUCAAAGGCAGUUACAACUGAACUUCCAGAGUCUAGCUCCUCAGGAGUAGGAAAUGUAGUACAAGUCCCUCCACCACCACCUCAGCAGCCCAGACUAAGAGUUAGGCCGAUAGAAGAGAUGCUUGACCGUAAAUUGUUGGAUCAGCAGAUGCGCGAUUCAUCUACUGCAGAAAAAGAUGCCGAGAGUGGUAUUCAGAUUUCAAGUGUCAUGAGCCUUUCAUCUCUGGGAGAAGACUCUCCUUUGAAACUUGGAUCAGAAACGCAAGUAAAUUCCACUGAAAGUGAGCUUCCUCUAUCAAUACUUCUGAACACAGAUAAGCUUUUGUACCUCACACCACUGGGUCCUAAACGCUUGUCAUCGAUAAUGUUGCGAGAUCCAGGAAGCGAAUCAGGCGCAAUAAAAUCCAUGUACAAGUUCAAACUUCAAUCAGGAAUCGCCAUGGAAGAGCUUUUGAAGGGUCAGUCAACGAGUUUUAUUAAUGCUGUAAAAGCGAGCCCCGGAUAUGUUCUAUUCAUGUACUGCAGACUCUGUUUCAUCUAUCACCACAUAAACAUUGACCUGUUCAAAAUUGAGUGUCCUAAACGACCACGGAGACUCAUUCUUACAUCAAGCGAACUGAAAUUCGCCAUCACUGAAUCCAGUAUGGUUAACCAUCGGAUGACACAUUCUGCAUAUCCAUUGCUCAUCCUGCAGAACGUUGUGAAGAGUCCUGAAUGCUACGAGGCGAUGCUGGGUCCAGCUUCUUUGGUAAAACUCUACAAAUGUAUGGGUGCAGUGUGCUCGUUCUCAGCUGUAAAUGGCACCAGUUUCAUCCGACAUAUUACUAAUCAUGAAACUCACGUCCGAGCAAUUAUCAAGAAAAUUGGAAGAAACAAAGAAGCUAGCAAGCAUUUGAAAACAAGGGAGUGGAAUUUAUGUGCCUAUUGCGGUUUUGAUGCAGAAGGACCAAUUGACCUAAAACAACAUAUCGAAGAUGAGCAUGGAAGAUCACAAUUUCAGUGUGGCCAUUGUUUUUACCGUGGUUUUGCCAAAUGGCACGUAGCAUGGCACCAGGUCUAUGCUCAUGAGGGCCUUCCACCACUAAUUUUUGCCUGUUAUGCUGCCACAACAAAGCUCUUCAGCCUCCCAGUGUAG
This 3648-nucleotide long non-coding RNA is filed under the name Bemisia tabaci. RNAcentral describes it as "lncRNA ENSSSA1NGG008827". The record is from RNAcentral. Lineage: Eukaryota; Metazoa; Arthropoda; Insecta; Hemiptera; Aleyrodidae.